AGAGUUUGAUCAUGGCUCAGGACGAACGCUGGCGGCGUGCCUAACACAUGCAAGUCGAGCGGAGCAGUAGCAAUACUGCUUAGCGGCGGACGGGUGAGUAACACGUGGGUAACCUGCCCUAUGAUGGGGGAUAGCCAGCCGAAAGGUUGAUUAAUACCGCAUAAUUACAGAAAGCCGCAUGGCUUUCUGUUUAAAGGAGUAAUUCGUCAUAGGAUGGACCCGCGGCCCAUUAGCUAGUUGGUGAGAUAACAGCCCACCAAGGCGACGAUGGGUAGCCGACCUGAGAGGGUGAUCGGCCACAUUGGAACUGAGACACGGUCCAGACUCCUACGGGAGGCAGCAGUGGGGAAUAUUGCGCAAUGGGGGAAACCCUGACGCAGCAACGCCGCGUGAGUGAAGAAGGCCUUCGGGUCGUAAAGCUCUGUCUUUGGGGACGAAUAAUGACGGUACCCAAGGAGGAAGCCACGGCUAACUACGUGCCAGCAGCCGCGGUAAUACGUAGGUGGCGAGCGUUGUCCGGAAUUACUGGGCGUAAGGGGUGCGUAGGCGGUUUCUUAAGUCAGAUGUGAAAUCCCAGGGCUCAACUCUGGAGUGGCAUUUGAAACUGGGGAGCUAGAGUGCAGGAGAGGAAAGCGGAAUUCCUAGUGUAGCGGUGAAAUGCGUAGAUAUUAGGAAGAACACCAGUGGCGAAGGCGGCUUUCUGGACUGUAACUGACGCUGAGGCACGAAAGCGUGGGGAGCAAACAGGAUUAGAUACCCUGGUAGUCCACGCUGUAAACGAUGAGUGCUAGGUGUAGGGGGUGUCAUGCCUUCUGUGCCGCAGUAAACGCAAUAAGCACUCCGCCUGGGGAGUACGGUCGCAAGACUAAAACUCAAAUGAAUUGACGG
This 888-nucleotide ribosomal RNA is filed under the name uncultured bacterium. RNAcentral's name for it is "bacterial SSU rRNA". It matches the Rfam family "Bacterial small subunit ribosomal RNA", at positions 8 to 916 of the family's 1533-position model. The record is from RNAcentral.